GAAAGGGUUUAGUAAUUGUAAAAUAUUUUUAAAAUAAGCUAAAGAAAGCGUCUAGGAAUGGGAAACUGUGGCAGUUGUGAAAGCUGUUCUAGUACAAAAGAUUGUUCAUCUGGAAAAUGGUACACCUGCAAUAUUGAGCAUUACUUUUGUGAAGAUCAUCAAAACAAAGACUAUUGCCCAAAGCAUCCAGGCUAUGGCAGAAAAACUUAGCAAAUGGCAAAAACCCUUUCUUUUUUAUUUUUGCAUUUUCAUUUUACACAGAACUUUAUUACUUGCAUAGAACUUCUUGUUAACUAUAAUUUAUGUAUUUAGUUUUAUCUCAGACACUUACUUAUUUCCUUCAUAUUUGUGCUGGAUUGUUUUAUAGAGUACCAAUAGCAA
This is a long non-coding RNA of Amphimedon queenslandica, 381 nucleotides long. RefSeq lists it as uncharacterized. The transcript has 2 exons. NCBI's taxonomy places the organism in Eukaryota, Metazoa, Porifera, Demospongiae, Haplosclerida, Niphatidae. The record is from RefSeq and is a predicted model, not a curated record.